CUCCACAGCUGUCGUCAAUGGACAAAUGCUGUAGCAAGGAUCAUGGUGGCGAAAAGUCUAGUGUCUUUAGUGUUUCUAAUUUGUUGCAUCGUUGGAACCGAGAACAAUAAAGAUAUUUUUAAUGGACAAACAUCUAAACUUUCCAGCUACACGGUUGUAAAGCCUCAGCUUGUUCACAGGAGAUGGGCAAGAAAUGCCGACAGACGUCCUGACUGGGGAAAGACUGAAGAACCAGAGGAACGUUCUUAUUCAUUGAUCAUUGACAACAAGGAACAUUUCCUACAUCUACAAAAGAACACAGAGUUUUUAUCCAAAAGCUUUGUUCAGUUUUCCCAUGAUGCCACUGGGAAUCUGACGCCUACAUAUCCUAAACCUGAUG
This is a long non-coding RNA of Oncorhynchus tshawytscha (Chinook salmon), 379 nucleotides long. Lineage: Eukaryota; Metazoa; Chordata; Actinopteri; Salmoniformes; Salmonidae. The record is from Ensembl.